UACAGAGGUCUCAAGCGUUGUUCGGAUUCAUUGGGCGUAAAGGGAGCGUAGGUGGCGAGGUUAGUCAGGUGUGAAAUCUCGGGGCUCAACCCCGAAACUGCACUUGAUACUGCCUUGCUAGAGUACUGGAGAGGAGAUUGGAAUUUACGGUGUAGCAGUGAAAUGCGUAGAUAUCGUAAGGAAGACCAGUGGCGAAGGCGAAUCUCUGGACAGUUACUGACACUGAGGCUCGAAGGCCAGGGGAGCAAACGGG
This 253-nucleotide ribosomal RNA is filed under the name uncultured bacterium. RNAcentral's name for it is "partial 16S ribosomal RNA". It matches the Rfam family "Bacterial small subunit ribosomal RNA", at positions 524 to 776 of the family's 1533-position model. The record is from RNAcentral.